RNAcentral lists this ribosomal RNA (279 nucleotides) under uncultured bacterium. Its description in RNAcentral is "partial 16S ribosomal RNA". It matches the Rfam family "Bacterial small subunit ribosomal RNA", at positions 506 to 784 of the family's 1533-position model. The record is from RNAcentral.
UGCCAGCAGCCGCGGUAAUACGGAGGGGGCAAGCGUUAUUCGGAUUUACUGGGCGUAAAGCGCACGUAGGUGGCAUGGUAAGCCAAAGGUGAAAGCCCUCGGCUCAACCGAGGAAUUGCCUUUGAAACUGCUUUGCUUGAGUCCGGGAGGGGGGAGCGGAAUUCCCAGUGUAGCGGUGAAAUGCGUAGAUACUGGGAGGAACACCGGUGGCGAAGGCGGCUCCCUGGACCGGUACUGACACUGAGGUGCGAAAGCGUGGGUAGCAAACAGGAUUAGAUA